Molecule: long non-coding RNA, 2885 nt
Organism: Ficedula albicollis (Collared flycatcher)
Lineage: Eukaryota; Metazoa; Chordata; Aves; Passeriformes; Muscicapidae
Source: Ensembl
AUGGAGAUCCAGCACCUGUGUCCCACCUGGUGGGAUGGAGAUCCAGCACCUGUGUCCCACCUGGUGGGGAUGGAGAUCCAGCACCUGUGUCCCACCUGGUGGGAUGGAGAUCCAGCACCUGUGUCCCACCUGGUGGGAUGGAGAUCCAGCACCUGUGUCCCACCUGGUGGGAUGGAGAUCCAGCACCUGUGUCCCACCUGGUGGGAUGGAGAUCCAGCACCUGUGUCCCACCUGGUGGGAUGGAGAUCCAGCACCUGUGUCCCACCUGGUGGGAUGGAGAUCCAGCACCUGUGUCCCACCUGGUGGGAUGGAGAUCCAGCACCUGUGUCCCACCUGGUGGGAUGGAGAUCCAGCACCUGUGUCCCACCUGGUGGGAUGGAGAUCCAGCACCUGUGUCCCACCUGGUGGGAUGGAGAUCCAGCACCUGUGUCCCACCUGGUGGGAUGGAGAUCCAGCACCUGUGUCCCACCAGGUGGGGAUGAGAUCCAGCACCUGUGUCCCAUCAGGGGGGAUGAGAUCCAGCACCUGUGUCCCAACAGGUGGGAUGCAGAUCCAGCACCUGUGUGCCACCAGAGGGGAUGCAGAUCCAGCACCUGUGUCCCAGCACAUCAACAUGCAGGUCUGGUACCUGUGUCCCCACUGACCCAGGAUGCAGGUUUGGUACCUGUAACCUGCUAGACUGGGAUGCAGAUCUGGUGUCAAUGUCCCAGCAGGCCAGGAUGCAGAUCCAGCACCUGUAUCCCACCAGGCUGGGAUGCAGGAGCAGUACCUGGUGUCCCAUUAGGGCACCAUUAGAGAUGCAGAUCAGGUAUCCAUGUCCCAGUGGGUUGGGAUGCAGGUUUGGUACCCAAGUCCCAUCAGGCUGGGAUGCAGGUUCAGCACCUGUGUCCCAUCAGUUUGGGAUGCAGGUCCAGUUCCUGUGUCCCACUGACCCAGGAUGCAGGUUUGGUACCCAAGCCCCAUCAGUUUGGGAUGCAGGUCCAGUUCCUGUGUCCCACUGACCCAGGAUGCAGGUUUGGUACCCAAGCCCCAUUAGACUGGGAUGCAGGUCCAGCUCCUGUGUCCCAGUGGGUCAGGAUGAAGCUUUGGUACCAAUGCCACAUCAGUUUGGGAUGCAGGUCCAGCUCCUGUGUCCCACUGGCCCAGGAUGCAGGUUUGGUAUCCAAGUCCCAUCAGGCUGGGAUGCAGGUUCAGCACCUGUGUCCCAUCAGGUUGGGAUGCAGGUCUGACACCCAUGUCCCACUGACCCAGGAUGCAGGUUUGGUACCCAAGCCCCAUUAGACUGGGAUGCAGGUCCAGCUCCUGUGUCCCAGUGGGUCAGGAUGAAGCUUUGGUACCAAUGCCACAUCAGUUUGGGAUGCAGGUCCAGUUCCUGUGUCCCACUGACCCAGGAUGCAGGUUUGGUACCCAAGGCCGUCAGACUGGGAUGCAGGUCCAGCUCCUGUGUCCCACUGGCCCAGGAUGCAGGUUUGGUGCCCAAGCCCCAUCAGUUUGGGAUGCAGAUCUGGUACCCACAUCCCACGAGGUUGGGAUGUAAGACCAGUACCUGCUGUCCCAUCAGGUCAGGAUGCAGUUCUGGCACCUCUGUCCCACCAGUUUGGGAUGCAGCCCCAGUACCCAAAUCCUGCAGGAUGCCCACUGGGCACACCCCAAAAUCCAGGCAGCUCCCAUGGAGCUACAUCAGCCACCACAGUGCCAGGUCCAGCCCUGCACCCCCUAAUUUCUCAUCCCCCUAAAAGCUUGCUGUCCUUCUACCCAACACGAUACAAACGGGAAUUUAAACAUCCCAAAACACCCCCUCUGUGCACAGGGAUCAGGGUCACCCUCUCCCCAGCCCCCAAAAUCCUUGGUGACCCCGAGAGGAGCAGGAGAGGCCCCUCAGUGAGGACAGGCAGGGCUGGAAGAGCCUCUCACCUGUCAGAUGCCACAGGUGAGGGGACAGUGCAGGGCACAGGGGAUGGGACACCGGGGUCCUGACACCACAUCACCCCUUAGGGCACCAGACUGGGGGGACACAUGCCCUGAUCAUCCCUCAGGAGUCCUUGGAUCCCCACCAAACCCCCGCCCCAGAUCCUCCCCUCAAAGAAAACCACAACUCUGCUCUCCCCAACCCCAAAUUCCCCCAAAUUCCCAACUGCACAUCGACAACGGAGCCACCAGGGAAGAGACUGGAUCCAAAGGCACAACCACUCCAAGGAGAGUGAAAGUGCCCCCCCCCCCCCCCCCCCCCCCCCCCCCCCCCCCCCCCCCCCCCCCCCCCCCCCCCCCCCCCCCCCCCCCCCCCCCCCCCCCCCCCCCCCCCCCCCCCCCCCCCCCCCCCCCCCCCCCCCCCCCCCCCCCCCCCCCCCCCCCCCCCCCCCCCCCCCCCCCCCCCCCCCCCGAAAAGAAAAAAAAAAUAAAGGGACGAAGAUUGGAAAAGUUUAAUAGAGGGAGAAAAAGUCUAUUAAAAAAAAAAAAAAUAAGGCAGGCAGCCCGUCUCAGGGGAAGAGCUGAAAUAUUAAAGAAAGGAAAAUCGCUUCUCCUGCUGCCGAGCCAGAGCAGAAUGGAGAGGCUGGAAGAGAAGGAAUGGGGAACUUUUAAUUGAAAAAAGGGAGAUUCAAAUGAAAUAUCCAAUAUCCCCCGUUAAAGAAAAGAAGAAAGACGGACCUUGGCCGCUGAGAAAUUGCUAAAAGCCCCAAGUUUUCUCUCUCGGAAGUUAUAGGAAAGAGGGAUGAGAGAAAGGAAAGGAAAAAAAGGGUUUUUCAUCCGAGAGGAACUCAGGGGCAAUGGAGGAGGAGGGCGGGGAGAGAGAGAGACAGAGAGAGCAAGUUUUAUUCAUUUAUUUUAUUUUAUGAGAUGAGUAAAAAUAAUAUAUUUAAAAUAAAAAAAAAAAAAAAAAAAACCCC